This 74-nucleotide transfer RNA is filed under the name Bacteroidota bacterium. RNAcentral's name for it is "Bacteroidetes bacterium tRNA-Met". It matches the Rfam family "tRNA". From Rfam's summary of the family: Transfer RNA (tRNA) molecules are approximately 80 nucleotides in length. Their secondary structure includes four short double-helical elements and three loops (D, anti-codon, and T loops). Further hydrogen bonds mediate the characteristic L-shaped molecular structure. tRNAs have two regions of fundamental functional importance: the anti-codon, which is responsible for specific mRNA codon recognition, and the 3' end, to which the tRNAs corresponding amino acid is attached (by aminoacyl-tRNA synthetases). tRNAs cope with the degeneracy of the genetic code in two manners: having more than one tRNA (with a specific anti-codon) for a particular amino acid; and 'wobble' base-pairing, i.e. permitting non-standard base-pairing at the 3rd anti-codon position. RNAcentral also lists the same sequence under 1 other name. The record is from RNAcentral. Lineage: Bacteria; Pseudomonadati; Bacteroidota.
GGCGAGGUAGCUCAGCUGGUUAGAGCGCAGGAUUCAUAAUCCUGAGGUCGGGGGUUCGAGCCCCCCCCUCGCUA